CGGACCAUUGGUCAGGGUUGGCCUGAGACCUGGAGCAGGCGUCGCAGAGACGGUCGUGGACGGUGAGUUCGACGAGGUGGGACUGCUCGAGGAUGGCGCCAUGGAGGGCCUCGGCCUGGACGCGGAGGCGGAGGCGGAGGCGCUUGGAGUGGGGCUCGGUCCAGAUGAACUCGGCGUGGACGAGGCGGACGCGUCGAAGGGGGAGGCGGAGGCGGCGGAGGCAGAAGGCGAGCAGCUCCUUGGACUCCGGUUCCAGGCCACGGAGCCAGGUGCGCGGCGGCUGUAGGUAGGAGCGGCACUCGGGGCAGUGGACCACGGCGGCGUGGCGGGUGAGACCCUCGGUGAUGUCCACCCUGGAGCGCAGGCAGCCCACGCACAUGUUAGCCGGGUUGGGCGGCAUCGCCACCCCGCAGAUGCAGCACAGCACCGUGCCCACCGUCUGUGACGGCACGAACAUGCCCGACGCCGACAGAUCCGACAUAUCCUCGAUGCCGACGCCCUCCUCCUCUUCCUCUUCCUCUUCGAUCGAUUGACUGAAUGGAUAAAUGGGACGGAAUAUAUACGCGGGAUUAGGGUUCUGGGGCGGUGCGGCAAG
This 595-nucleotide long non-coding RNA is filed under the name Musa acuminata (dwarf banana). Its description in RNAcentral is "long non-coding RNA (MACU_LNC001469)". The record is from RNAcentral. Lineage: Eukaryota; Viridiplantae; Streptophyta; Magnoliopsida; Zingiberales; Musaceae.